GUGCAAUUUGUAGAGGCUGCAGCACACGAGAGUGAACAGCAGAAAGAGGCUUCUUGGAAACAUAACCAGGAAUUGCGAAAAGCCUUGCAGCAGCUACAAGAAGAAUUGCAGAAUAAGAGCCAACAGCUUCAUGCCCGGGAGGCUGAAAAAUACAAUGAGAUUCGAACCCAGGAACAAAACAUCCAGCACCUAAACCAUAGUCUGAGUCACAAGGAGCAGUUGCUUCAGGAAUUUCGGGAGCUCCUACAGUAUCGAGAUAACUCAGACAAAACCCUUGAAGCAAAUGAAAUGUUGCUUGAGAAACUUCGCCAGCGAAUACAUGAUAAAGCUGUUGCUCUGGAGCGGGCUAUAGAUGAAAAAUUCUCUGCUCUAGAAGAGAAAGAAAAAGAACUGCGCCAGCUUCGUCUUGCUGUGAGAGAGCGAGAUCAUGACUUAGAGAGACUGCGCGGUGUCCUCUCCUCCAAUGAAGCUACUAUGCAAAGUAUGGAGAGUCUCCUGAGGGCCAAAGGCCUGGAAGUGGAACAGUUAUCUACUACCUGUCAAAACCUCCAGUGGCUGAAAGAAGAAAUGGAAACCAAGUUUAGCCAUUGGCAGAAGGAACAAGAGAGUAUCAUUCAGCAGUUACAGACGUCUCUUCAUGAUAGGAACAAAGAAGUGGAGGAUCUUAGUGCAACAUUGCUCUGCAAACUUGGACCAGGGCAGAGUGAGAUAGCAGAGGAGCUGUGCCAGCGUCUACAGCGAAAGGAAAGGAUGCUGCAGGACCUUCUAAGUGAUCGAAACAAACAAGUGGUGGAACAUGAAAUGGAGAUUCAAGGCCUGCUUCAGUCUAUGAGCACCAGGGAGCAGGAAAGCCAAGCUGCUGCAGAGAAGAUGGUGCAAGCCUUAAUGGAAAGAAAUUCAGAAUUACAGGCCCUGCGCCAGUAUUUCGGAGGAAGAGACUCCCUGAUGUCCCAAACACCCAUCUCUAACCAACAAGCUGAAGUUACCCCCACUGGCCGUCUUGGAGAACAGACUGAUCAAGGUUCAAUGCAGAUACCUUCCAGAGAUGAUAGCACUUCACUGACUGCCAAAGAGGAUGCCAGCAUACCCAGAUCCACUUUAGGAGACUUGGACACAGUUGCAGGGCUGGAAAAAGAACUGAGUAAUGCCAAAGAGGAACUUGAACUCAUGGCUAAAAAAGAAAGAGAAAGUCAGCUUUACCCCUCAAACAUGGGAGAAAAAGUUUCAGCAUUUUAAUUCAAAUUGGUAAAAGGCUGAGCAACCCUUAAAGCUGCCGUAAUGAAAGAAGACUGUGAGCUAGCUUAAAAAAGAAAGAAGGGGAAGAAACAAAACCCCUGUGUAGUAGAGUGUCGAAAUGAGAUGAGCAUUUAUUUGUCUCCAUCGAAUUCCUUA
RNAcentral lists this small RNA (1392 nucleotides) under Pongo abelii (Sumatran orangutan). RNAcentral describes it as "processed transcript". The record is from RNAcentral. Lineage: Eukaryota; Metazoa; Chordata; Mammalia; Primates; Hominidae.